CGGUUUAAUGGGAAGGAA
This 18-nucleotide microRNA is filed under the name Corchorus olitorius. RNAcentral's name for it is "cin-miR-4205-". Lineage: Eukaryota; Viridiplantae; Streptophyta; Magnoliopsida; Malvales; Malvaceae. The record is from RNAcentral.